This 709-nucleotide long non-coding RNA is filed under the name Olea europaea (common olive). RNAcentral's name for it is "long non-coding RNA (OEUR_LNC013825)". Lineage: Eukaryota; Viridiplantae; Streptophyta; Magnoliopsida; Lamiales; Oleaceae. The record is from RNAcentral.
UUUGUCUGAGGGAUUGUUGGUAUGAUAAGGAACUACCACCAGAAAUAUGGAAGAUGCCACAAUUAAGACAUGUCAAGUUGGGUGGAAGAUGCCAAAAUUAAGACAUGUAUCCACUACCCUAGACUCGUGCACCUAGUCAUUUCGAUUGGAGCUUGCAGAGAGCUGGAUGUGAUCCCAAGUGGUUUUCGGGGAAAUGUCAACUUGUCAAUCCAUCGAGUUGAUUCGACUUCGUUUUUUUGGGAAAAUUUCAACCCUUGGUUAUUCGAUUGUAUGAUGAGCAAAGAAAAAAGAAGAGGAACAAUUGAGUAGGGGGAACGAUGCCUGCAAUUUAUAUAUUAAGGAAUAAUAAUGUGCAGAGAUUUAAAGUUGUCCAUGCCAAUCAUUUAUAGGUACCAUUUUCUUUUGUGAACCUUUUCCAUUUUCACGUUUGGCUUUCUUGUGUUUAUCUACAUUCUUACUUCCUCUUCGAAUUUAUACAGUCUGCAGUUUGAGAUAUGGGAGUUCAGUUUAAACCAACUUCGAUGCAGGUGCUGUGCAUUAAGAGUGCAAUUAACUUUCUCAAAAGUUCGUACUGUACAACCAUGAUUUCAUUUAGUGUCCUUGUUUGUCUAUGCUGUUUUUUCUGCUUUCCUCUCUCCUUAUUUGUGGUUUUCACAUGAUUUUAUCGAGGUUAAUUGACAAAAUCAUGAUUCAUGCAUCAUAGUUCUUG